GUAGGGGGCAAGCGUUAACCGGAUUUACUGGGUGUAAAGGGAGCGUAGACGGUAGAGCAAGUCUGAAGUGAAAGCCCGCGGCUCAACUGCGGGACUGCUUUGGAAACUGUUCAACUGGAGUGCUGGAGAGGUAAGCGGAAUUCCUAGUGUAGCGGUGAAAUGCAUAGAUAUUAGGAGGAACACCAGUGGCGAAGGCGGCUUACUGGACAGUAACUGACGUUGAGGCUCGAAAGCGUGGGGAGCAA
RNAcentral lists this ribosomal RNA (245 nucleotides) under uncultured bacterium. RNAcentral describes it as "partial 16S ribosomal RNA". It matches the Rfam family "Bacterial small subunit ribosomal RNA", at positions 527 to 771 of the family's 1533-position model. The record is from RNAcentral.